This 373-nucleotide ribosomal RNA is filed under the name uncultured organism. RNAcentral describes it as "partial 16S ribosomal RNA". It matches the Rfam family "Bacterial small subunit ribosomal RNA", at positions 527 to 896 of the family's 1533-position model. The record is from RNAcentral.
GUAGGUGGCAAGCGUUGUCCGGAAUUAUUGGGGCGUAAAGCGCGCGCAGGCGGUUCUUUAAGUCUGAUGUGAAAGCCCACGGGCUCAACCGUGGAGGGUCAUUGGAAACUGGAGAACUUGAGUACAGAAGAGGAAAGCGGAAUUCCACGUGUAGCGGUGAAAUGCGUAGAGAUGUGGAGGAACACCAGUGGCGAAGGCGGCUUUCUGGUCUGUAACUGACGCUGAGGCGCGAAAGCAUGGGGAGCAAACAGGAUUAGAUACCCUGGUAGUCCACGCCGUAAACGAUGAGUGCUAAGUGUUAGGGGGUUUCCGCCCCUUAGUGCUGCAGCUAACGCAUUAAGCACUCCGCCUGGGGAGUACGGCCGCAAGGCUG